This 458-nucleotide ribosomal RNA is filed under the name uncultured Thauera sp. Its description in RNAcentral is "bacterial SSU rRNA". It matches the Rfam family "Bacterial small subunit ribosomal RNA", at positions 923 to 1382 of the family's 1533-position model. The record is from RNAcentral. Lineage: Bacteria; Pseudomonadati; Pseudomonadota; Betaproteobacteria; Rhodocyclales; Zoogloeaceae.
GCACAAGCGGUGGAUGAUGUGGAUUAAUUCGAUGCAACGCGAAAACCUUACCUACCCUUGACAUGUCUGGAACCUUGGUGAGAGCCGAGGGUGCCUUCGGGAGCCAGAACACAGGUGCUGCAUGGCUGUCGUCAGCUCGUGUCGUGAGAUGUUGGGUUAAGUCCUGCAACGAGCGCAACCCUUGUCACUAGUCGCCAUCAUUUAGUUGGGGCACUCUAGUGAGACUGCCGGUGACAAACCGGAGGAAGGUGGGGAUGACGUCAAGUCCUCAUGGCCCUUAUGGGUAGGGCUUCACACGUCAUACAAUGGUCGGUACAGAGGGUUGCCAAGCCGCGAGGUGGAGCCAAUCCCUUAAAGCCGAUCGUAGUCCGGAUCGUAGUCUGCAACUCGACUACGUGAAGUCGGAAUCGCUAGUAAUCGCAGAUCAGCACGCCGCGGUGAAUACGUUCCCGGGCCUU